GGCAGUCGGCAAAGACGGUGAAGACCGUGUAGUCUUCCGGCCUCAGGUUGCGCGCGUGCGUGACGUGGCGCCAAACGUGAACGGCGAGUGAUUGGAACGUGGAAAAUGGCUUUGCGCCGUCCGGUGGAGGGUUUGCGUUGACCGUUGACUUUAUCUUAUCGACGGCGGAUUCUGGGAACCGGAAGACCUUCUCCCGCAGCUUAGGCUCCUGCUGUUUGGCUUCGCCGUUAGAUUCGGCGCUGGCCGCCACCGGGUCUGGGGGCAGGGAGAGGUCGAGC
Molecule: long non-coding RNA, 278 nt
Filed under: Carica papaya (papaya)
Lineage: Eukaryota; Viridiplantae; Streptophyta; Magnoliopsida; Brassicales; Caricaceae
Description: long non-coding RNA (CPAP_LNC006572)
Source: RNAcentral